AACGAACGCUGGCGGCAGGCUUAACACAUGCAAGUCGAACGCACCUUUCGGGGUGAGUGGCCGACGGGUGAGUAACGCGUGGGAAUCUACCCUUCUCUACGGGAUAGCUCCGGGAAACUGGAAUUAAUACCGUAUACGUCCUGAGGGAGAAAGAUUUAUCGGGGAAGGAUGAGCCCGCGUUGGAUUAGCUAGUUGGUGGGGUAAAGGCCUACCAAGGCGACGAUCCAUAGCUGGUCUAAGAGGAUGAUCAGCCACAUUGGGACUGAGACACGGCCCAAACUCCUACGGGAGGCAGCAGUGGGGAAUAUUGGACAACGGGCGCAAGCCUGAUCCAGCCAUGCCGCGUGAGUGAUGAAGGCCCUAGGGUUGUAAAGCUCUUUCAGUGGGGACGAUAAUGACGGUACCCACAGAAGAAGCCCCGGCUAACUUCGUG
RNAcentral lists this ribosomal RNA (433 nucleotides) under uncultured bacterium. RNAcentral describes it as "partial 16S ribosomal RNA". It matches the Rfam family "Bacterial small subunit ribosomal RNA", at positions 29 to 507 of the family's 1533-position model. The record is from RNAcentral.